Molecule: transfer RNA, 96 nt
Organism: Puccinia sorghi
Lineage: Eukaryota; Fungi; Basidiomycota; Pucciniomycetes; Pucciniales; Pucciniaceae
Rfam family: tRNA
About the family: Transfer RNA (tRNA) molecules are approximately 80 nucleotides in length. Their secondary structure includes four short double-helical elements and three loops (D, anti-codon, and T loops). Further hydrogen bonds mediate the characteristic L-shaped molecular structure. tRNAs have two regions of fundamental functional importance: the anti-codon, which is responsible for specific mRNA codon recognition, and the 3' end, to which the tRNAs corresponding amino acid is attached (by aminoacyl-tRNA synthetases). tRNAs cope with the degeneracy of the genetic code in two manners: having more than one tRNA (with a specific anti-codon) for a particular amino acid; and 'wobble' base-pairing, i.e. permitting non-standard base-pairing at the 3rd anti-codon position.
Source: Rfam
GACAAUUUGGCCGAGUGGUUAAGGCGAUUGACUCGAACCCUUGUGACUCGGUAUCAAUUGGGAUCUCCCGCGCAGGUUCAAAUCCUGCAGUUGUCG